The sequence is a transfer-messenger RNA, 373 nucleotides long. It matches the Rfam family "Alphaproteobacteria transfer-messenger RNA". Rfam says of the family: Bacterial tmRNA, also known as 10Sa RNA or SsrA, is named for its dual tRNA and mRNA-like properties.
CCUCUUCCAUCCGCAGCCAGCCCACCCUAUAUUGUUCUUGCCGGCUUUCGGGUCGGCUAUGGCAAUAAACGGGCGAUGAAAUAAGCCUAUCGGACCCGGGUGCGAUUCCCGGCGCCUCCACCACGAACCGUUGAAAAUUCGGAUUUGGCAACGGCUGGUGAUGGGGGCGAAAUAGGAUCGACGAGGGUGUAAAGAUCGACUUUUUGCCCGGCAUGAUACCACCGUUAUCGGGUCGAACCUUAUAGUUGCCAACGACAACUAUGCUGAGGCACGUCUCGCUGCGUAAGCAGCGCGAUAGUCUCGAAUUGAAGUCCUGAGAAGCUAGCACUUUUCAGGCGGGGCCCGGAGGCGCCUGGCAACAGAAGCCUCCACU